UAUUUUUGGCACACGGAGGCCGCCCGCCAAGUCUGGUGCCAUUCCGAGUCCCGCGGACGAACUUCGCCCACGCCCCCCACCAAGGCUAUAGCCCACCCCUUUUUUGGCCAUUUUUCCGCUGGGGGGUCUUGGGACCCCGAACUUCGGGGGCUGUUUUUUGGGCGCGGCUGUGCCCGUGGCCUAUUUUUGGCACACGGAGGCCGCCCGCCAAGUCUGGUGCCAUUCCGAGUCCCGCGGACGAACUUCGCCCACGCCCCACACCAAGGCUAUAGCCCACCCGUUUUUUGGCCAUUUUUCUGCUGGGGGGUCUUGGGACCCCGACCUUGGGGGGCUGGUUUUUGGGCGCGGCUGUGCCCGUGGCCUAUUGUUUGCACACGGAGGCCGCCCGCCAAGUCUGGUGCCAUUCCGAGUUCCGCGGACGAACUUCGCCCACGCCCCCCACCAAAGCUAUAGCCCACCCGUUUUUUGGCCAUUUUUCCGCUGGGGGGUCUAGGGACCCCGAACUUCGGGGGCUGUUUUUUGGGCGCGGCUGUGCCCGUGGCCUAUUUUUGGCACACGGAGGCCGCCCGCCAAGUCUGGUGCCAUUCCGAGUCCCGCGGACGAACUUCGCCCACGCCCCCCACCAAGGCUAUAGCCCACCCGUUUUUUGGCCAUUUUUCCGCUGGGGGGUCUUGGGACCCCGACCUUCGGGGGCUUUUUUUUGGGCGCGGCUGUGCCCGUGGCCUAUUUUUGGCACACGGAGGCCGCCCGCCAAGUCUGGUGCCAUUCCGAGUCCCGCGGAUGAACUUCGCCCACGCCCCCCACCAAGGCUAUAGCCCACCCGUCUUUUGGCCAUUUUUCCGCUGGGGGGUCUUGGGACCUCGACCUUCGGGGGCUGGUUUUUGGGCGCGGCUGUGCCCGUGGCCUAUUUUUGGCACACGGAGGCCGCCCGCCAAGUCUGGUGGCAUUCCGAGUCCCGCGGACGAACUUCGCCCACGCCACCCACCAAGGCUAUAGCCCACCCGUUUUUUGGCCAUUUUUCUGCUGGGGGGUCUUGGGACCCCGACCUUGGGGGGCUGGUUUUUGGGCGCGGCUGUGCCCGUGGCCUAUUGUUUGCACACGGAGGCCGCCCGCCAAGUCUGGUGCCAUUCCGAGUCCCGCGGACGAACUUCGCCCUCGCCCCCCACCAAGGCUAUAGCCCACCCGUUUUUUGGCCAUUUUUCCGCUGGGGGGUCUUGGGACCCCGACCUUCGGGGGCUGGUUUUUGGGCGCGGCUGUGCCCGUGGCCUAUUUUUGGCACACGGAGGCCGCCCGCCAAGUCUGGUGCCAUUCCGAGUUCCGCGGACGAACUUCGCCCACGCCCCCCACCAAAGCUAUAGCCCACCCGUUUUUUGGCCAUUUUUCCGCUGGGGGGUCUAGGGACCCCGAACUUCGGGGGCUGUUUUUUGGGCGCGGCUGUGCCCGUGGCCUAUUUUUGGCACACGGAGGCCGCCCGCCAAGUCUGGUGCCAUUCCGAGUCCCGCGGACGAACUUCGCCCACGCCCCCCACCAAGGCUAUAGCCCACCCGUUUUUUGGCCAUUUUUCCGCUGGGGGGUCUUGGGACCCCGACCUUCGGGGGCUUUUUUUUGGGCGCGGCUGUGCCCGUGGCCUAUUUUUUGCACACGGAGGCCGCCCGCCAAGUCUGGUGCCAUUCCGAGUCCCGCGGACGAACUUCGCCCACGCCCCCCACCAAGGCUAUAGCCCACCCGUUUUUUGGCCAUUUUUCCGCUGGGGGGUCUUGGGACCCCGACCUUCGGGGGCUGUUUUUUGGGCGCGGCUGUGCCCGUGGCCUAUUUUUGGCACACGGAGGCCACCCGCCAAGUCUGGUGCCAUUCCGAGUCCCGCGGACGAACUUCGCCCACGUCCCCCACCAAGGCUAUAGCCCACCCGUUUUUUGGCCAUUUUUCUGCUUGGGGGUCUUGGGACCCCGACCUUCGGGGGCUGUUUUUUGGGCGCGGCUGUGCCCGUGGCCUAUUUUUGACACACGGAGGCCGCCCGCCAAGUCUGGUGCCAUUCCGAGUCCCGCGGACGAACUUCGCCCACGCCCCCCACCAAGGCUAUAGCCCACCCGUCUUUUGGCCAUUUUUCCGCUGGGGGGUCUUGGGACCCCGACCUUCGGUUGCUGGUUUUUGGGCGCGGCUGUGCCCGUGGCCUAUUUUUGUUACACGGAGGCCGCCCGCCAAGUCUGGUGCAAUUCCGAGUCCCGCGGACGAACUUCGCCCACGUCCCCCACCAAGGCUAUAGCCCACCCGUUUUUUGGCCAUUUUUCCGCUGGGGGUUCUCGGGACCCCGACCUUCGGGGGCUGUUUUUUGGGUGCGGCUGUGCCCGUGGCCUAUUUUUGGCACACGGAGGCUGCCCGCCAAGUCUAGUGCCAUUCCUAGUCCCGCGGACGAACUUCGCCCACGCCCCCCACCAAGGCUAUAGCCCACCCGUUUUUUGGCCAUUUUUCCGCUGGGGGGUCUUGGGACCCCGACCUUCGGGGGCUGUUUUUUGGGCGCGGCUGUGCCCGUGGCCUAUUUUUGGCACACGGAGGCCGCCCGCCAAGUCUGGUGCCAUUCAGAGUCCCGCGGACAAACUUCGCCCACGCCCCCCACCAAGGCUAUAGCCCACCCGUUUUUUGGCCAUUUUUCUGCUUGGGGGUCUUGGGACCCCGACCUUCGGGGGCUGUUUUUUGGGCGCGGCUGUGCCCGUGGCCUAUUUUUGGCACACGGAGGCCGCCCGCCAAGUCUGGUGCCAUUCCGAGUCCCGCGGACGAACUUCGCCCACGCCCCCCACCAAGGCUAUAUGUCACGGCCCGGAUUGUUCCCACGCUAUGCCGUGCGGCCUUAGGCGCCAAAUUCGCACUCUAUUGGCCCUAAGUCAGCCUUACACCCAAAUCUGUUGCUGGAUUCGAGAAGCGGAAAAAGGAAUCACUCUAACUCACAAAGUAUGGGAGGAAAGAACUUAUAUUGCUCGAUAGAAUGUUUACAAAGCUAUGUGUGCUGGAAUUGUAUAUUGCUUUUUGAUUGAUUUGGCCAAAUGAGGCCUUCUCCGAUUUAUAGGGUACAAAGAAGUAUCUAGAGAGUCUCUAGAGUUACAUAAACACAUUAAUUACAAUGGAAAUAUCUACAUGCUCUACACAAGUCUCCAUGGCUCUAGAAUUCUCCAUGGGCCAGGCCAUGUGGAAGCUUGGGCCAUGACAUUCUCCCCCACCUAUUCCGGAGACGUCCUCGUCGACUCGCUGUGGAAGGCUUUGAUCUUGUCUUGGAACUGCCACAAAUCAUAUGCGGGCUCCCAACUUGUUUCGCUCUCGGGUAGUCCCUUCCAUUUGACAAAGUACUCUUGGCAUGGUGGAAAACUCUUCUUCCAAACCACACGGUCAGCCAAAAUGGCCUCCACUUCUUUGUCAUAGACCCUUGUGUUGCCCAGUGGAGGGCGCUUGGAUUCUCCCCUUUUCGGAUCUUCCGUAUCCCCAUGGAAUGGCUUCAAGGAACUCACGUGGAAGACCGGAUGGAGUUUUCGCCAAGAGGGUAACUCUAACUUGUACGACACAUUGCCGACCCUCUUGAUGAUGGGAAAUGGCCCCUCGUAUUUCCGGAUGAGGCCCUUGUGCAGCGAACGUGUGGACUUGUGCUGGGCUGGAACGAUCUUGACUAGCACCAUGUCCCCCACGUUGAACUCCAAGUGUCUACGCUUGCUAUCUGCCCAUUUCUUCAUCCGCUUGGUUGCUUUGUCGAGGUGCGCCCGUGCUAUGUCUGUUUGCUCAUGCCAUGACUUAGCCACUUUAUAUGCUGCAGGACACCUCCCGGUAUAGCUCGUGAUGAGCGUGUGUGGUGUAAGCGGCUGCUGUCCCAUGAUCACCUCAAAAGGGCUCCUCGAUGUAGCCUCACUCCGCUGCAAGUUGUAGGAAAAUUGGGCCACGUCCAGCAACUUUGCCCAGUCAUGCUGGUUGGCGCUCACAAAAUGCCGUAAGUACAGCUCCAACAAGGCAUUCACCCUCUCCGUUUGCCCAUCGGUUUGCGGAUGAAAGCUCGUAGAAAAGUGCAGCACCGACCCCAUAAGCUUGAACAACUCAGUCCAAAACCUCCCCGUAAACCGGCUGUCGCGGUCGCUAAUGAUGGAUUUCGGAAGUCCCCAAUACUUCACCACGUGCCUAAAGAAAAACUUGGCUGUGUCCUCCGCUGUGCACUCCUUCGGGGCAGGAAUGAAAGUGGCAUAUUUCGAGAAUCUGUCCACCACCACAACAAUAGUCGCAAACCCCUCCGAUUUUGGAAGACAAGUGAUGAAAUCCAUCGAUAUACUCUCCCACGGUCGAUCCGGAGUGGGCAGUGGCUCAAGCAACCCCGCGGGACAUUGUUGCUCUGUUUUGUCUUGUUGGCACACUAAGCACGUCCGCACGAACUGCUCCACUUCAUCCCGCAUCUGAGGCCAAUAGUAUGCCGACUCAAGCAAUGCCCGUGUCCGCCUUUGUCCCGGGUGUCCAGCCCACUUCGUAUCAUGACACUCCUUGAUCAAGUUCCGCCGCAAGUUUCCCCACUUCGGAACAUAGACACGCCGUCCCUUGGUGUAUAAAAGGCCAUCUUCGACCCAAAACCUCUUCGAUUUCCCCUGUUGUACGAGAGAAACCAGCUGCUUGGCCAAGGGAUCAUGCUCCGUCCCCUCCUUGAUGAGUGUAAGAAGCUCUCCUUGUAUCCGACUCAUGGCAGCAAGCUCGACCUUCCGACUCAAGGCGUCCGCUACCAAAUUAGCCUUUCCGGGCUUAUACUCCAGCACGUAGUCGAAUUCGGCCAAGAAAUCUUGCCAUCUCGCUUGCUUGGGACUAAGCUUCUUUUGGCUUUGGAAGUAACUAGUGGCCACGUUGUCCGUCUUCACCACGAACUUGGACCCAAGCAAGUAGUGCCUCCAUGUGCGCAAGCAGUGCACUACUGCCGUCAUCUCCUUCUCUUGUACCGUGUACCGCCGCUCCGUAUCGUUGAGCUUUCGGCUCUCAAAGGCUAUUGGAUGUUCGGCCUGCAUCAACACACCUCCAAUAGCAAAAUCGGAAGCAUCAGUGUGUACCUCAAAUGGUAAGUCAUGGUUUGGCAGCACAAGUACCGGCUCUUCCAUCACGGCCUUCUUGAGGGCAUCGAAGGCUUGCUGGCUCCUUUCCGUCCAUUCCCACUUGGUAGUCUUUUUGAGCAAAUCAGUGAGUGGUGCGGCAAUGGCGGAAUAACCUCUAAUGAACCUCCGAUAAUAGUUGGCAAGUCCUAAGAAAGAGCGCAACUCAGUCACCUUUGUGGGCGGCUCCCAUUCGGCAAUGGCUCGGACCUUGGCCUUGUCCAUGAGCAGCGUCCCAUCUCUGAUUUUAUGGCCAAGAAAAUCCACCUCCAGUUUUGCGAACGAACACUUCUCCCUCUUCACAUACAGCUCAUUUUCCCGCAACACCCCGAACACGACCCACAAGUGCUCAGCAUGUUCCGCCAAGGUGUUGCUAUAGACCACGAUGUCAUCAAGAUACACCACUACAAACUGAUCAAGGUAUGGCUGGAAUAUGCGGUUCAUGAGCGUGCAAAAUGUGGCUGGAGCAUUGGUGAGGCCGAAAGGCAUUACCUUGAACUCGUACGCUCCAUACCUCGUCACACAAGCGGUCUUCGGCUCAUCUCCCUCCGCAAUCCGUACUUGGUAAUAUCCCGAUCUAAGGUCCAGCUUGGAGAAAUAUUUGGCCCGUCCAAGUUGAUCGAACAAGUCCGCAAUCAGUGGGAUGGGGUAUUUGUUCUUCACGGUCACCUUGUUAAGAGCCCGGUAGUCGAUACAUAGUCGAAGUGAGCCAUCAUGCUUCCGCUGGAACAGCACCGGUGCUCCGUAUGGUGCUUUCGAGGGCUGGAUGUAUCCUGCGUCCAGCAGCUCCUUAAUUUGCCUCCGCAACUCCUCUAGCUCCGGUGGAGACAUGCGGUAAGGUGCUCGUGCAGGCGGUUUGGCACCCGGCUCCAGCUCAAUCUUGGAUGUUGGUGGCCUCGAAGUACCUCUCCAUGGACCACAAGAAGUUCUCGAUCUCCUGGGCAUCCCUCAAGGACUUGGCCUACCGCCUCCGGUAUGGGCUCCAUGGCCAUAGUGUCCUUCCCGUCACCAACCUCAUGAAUGGCCACCGCCUUCUUGCAAAGCGCCCAAUCCAUCUUAGUCUCUUCAAGGCCCGUGUGAAGCUCCUCCACUUGAGCCCUGAGCGCCUCAAUAGAGUUCAGAACCACCGCUUGGAACUCCUCAAGGCUUUGGCGUUGCGCCACCACAUCUUGGCUUAGAUCGCCCAUCCGCUCACCAAGAUCAUCCACCUCCUCCAUCUUUUGCUCAAAGAUCUCGAGGCGUUCUUUAAUCUCAGCGACAGAAAUCUCCCCACAGACAAUCCGAUUCUCCAUGGCGUUGAGCAAGUCCACUGACUUCUCCUUGCUGUUUUUCCCCUUCUUCGUAUUGGGGUUAGGCUCCCUUCCCCUUUGGUCAUCAUGAGUGCUCUCUGACAUCCUUCCUUUCGAACAACGCAACUACCCACGAGUGUAGACGGCUCUGAUACCAACUGUCACGGCCCGGAUUGUUCCCACGCUAUGCCGUGCGGCCUUAGGCGCCAAAUUCGCACUCUAUUGGCCCUAAGUCAGCCUUACACCCAAAUCUGUUGCUGGAUUCGAGAAGCGGAAAAAGGAAUCACUCUAACUCACAAAGUAUGGGAGGAAAGAACUUAUAUUGCUCGAUAGAAUGCUUACAAAGCUAUGUGUGCUGGAAUUGUAUAUUGCUUUUUGAUUGAUUUGGCCAAAUGAGGCCUUCUCCUAUUUAUAGGGUACAAAGAAGUAUCUAGAGAGUCUCUAGAGUUACAUAAACACAUUAAUUACAAUGGAAAUAUCUACAUGCUCUACACAAGUCUCCAUGGCUCUAGAAUUCUCCAUGGGCCAGGCCAUGUGGAAGCUUGGGCCAUGACAUAUAGCCCACCUGUUUUUUGGCCAUUUUUCCGUUGGGGGGUCUUGGGACCCCGACCUUCGGGGGCUGGUUUUUGGGCGCGGCUGUGCCCGUGGCCUAUUUUUGGCACACGGAGGCCGCCCGCCAAGUCUGGUGCCAUUCCGAGUCCCGCGGACGAACUUCGCCCACGCCCCCCACCAAGGCUAUAGCCCACCCGUUUUUUGGCCAUUUUUCCGCUGGGGGGUCUUGGGACCCCGACCUUCGGGGGCUUUUUUUUUGGCGCGGCUGUGCCCGUGGCCUAUUUUUGGCACACCGAGUCCGCCCGCCAAGUCUGGUGCCAUACCGAGUCCCGCGGACGAACUUCGCCCACGCCCCCCACCAAGGCUAUAGCCCACCCGUUUUUUGGCCAUUUUUCCGCUGGGGGGUCUUGGGACCCCGACCUUCGGGGGCUGUUUUUUGGGCGCGGCUGUGCCCGUAGCCUAUUGUUGGCACACGGAGGCCGCCCGCCAAGUCUGGUGCCAUUCCGAGUCCCGCGGACGAACUUCGCCCACGCCCCCCACCAAGGCUAUAGCCCACCCGUUUUUUGGCCAUUUUUCCACUGGGGGGUCUUGGGGCCCCGACCUUCGGGGGCUGUUUUUUUGGCGCGGCUGUGCCCGUGGCCUAUUUUUGGCACACGGAGGCCGCCCGCCAAGUCUGGUGCCAUUCCGAGUCCCGCGGACGAACUUCGCCCACGCCCCCCACCAAGGCUAUAGCCCUCCCGUUUUUUGGCCAUUUUUCCGCUGGGGGGUCUUGGGACCCCGACCUUCGGGGGCU
This 7730-nucleotide long non-coding RNA is filed under the name Citrus x clementina. Its description in RNAcentral is "Citrus clementina (C. clementina) long non-coding RNA (CCLE_LNC005054)". Lineage: Eukaryota; Viridiplantae; Streptophyta; Magnoliopsida; Sapindales; Rutaceae. The record is from RNAcentral.